This is a long non-coding RNA of Aquila chrysaetos chrysaetos, 2159 nucleotides long. RefSeq lists it as uncharacterized. The transcript has 3 exons. The record is from RefSeq and is a predicted model, not a curated record. Lineage: Eukaryota; Metazoa; Chordata; Aves; Accipitriformes; Accipitridae.
UAAUGCACAUCAUGACUGGAGUUGGACAAAGGAUUUUGUCAAAUCCAGUCCACCAAAGGAUUUUUAGAGCAGAAUUGUCUGCACUGGGCACCAGUGAAGGACUUCUGGCUUCCCAUUGUUUGAUUCUCCCCAGGAAAAAGCACUGGAAGUCCCCAGGGGCACACAGACACUGUUUCUGGAAGAGAGCCUGACAGUCAAUACAGGAUGGAAUGGAAUAGGAUGGAAUUACACAAAGUCAAGACUGAAGCCAGUGACUUCAGGACCCAAAGGGCAGUGGAAGGUUGUGUGUAACAUCAGAGAAAGGAUGGUCUUCAUACAUGCCCUGAACCCCCAUGGAUGUAAGAGAGUGCGGCACGUCCAUCUGCAUUAACGGAUGACGCUGGGCAGCAAAUUCAGCACUGCCAGUGGGAGAAGGAUCGCCAUCAUUUCUUACCAGCACAAGGGCAUACCUGCAUUGUGUUUUGUGGGCUGAAGUAAGGUGGCUGCUUGUGCUCUCCAAGCCUGCCAGCUCCAAACGUGAAAUCAUACAAGCAUGGUUAGCCCAGCAGUGAACACAAGCCCUGCUGAGAGUCGGGUUUAGACUACCCCAGGUUCAACACUGCCCUAACACAGCCACACCACUCUCAGUUUACAGCUGGCUCACAUCUGGCUGCUUCAGAGCACAGGCUUCUCUCUGCCUGCAAAUCAACUCAGAGACAUGCUUGAAGAUACAGUCCAGAAACCCAAAACAGUCAUAUUCCCCACUCCUUCCUUUCUAUUUUUUCUUUUUUUGUUGUUGUUUUUUGCUUUUUCACCAACUUUUUGGGUGUGGCUCCUUUCCAGGAGGGCACCUGAAUGGUUUAUUAGCAAGAAACAUUGCCUACAGUUUCACUAGUUGCAUAGACAGCAACAAUACUAGAAAGAAAUAUUACGCAGGGUCUUCUGUGAGAAGGCUGUGAGAAGACAGCCAUGGUUGGUCAUCCCAAAGCAGCACUGGAGAUGAGCAAGAAGCAUACCUCAGCCCACUACAACUCAGCAAAACAUGGCCCUCAAGUGGAUUUCCCUCUCCAUCACCAAUGUUCCCGUGCAGGACAAUGCCCAUCCAGCUACAAGAGGCAAUCAGAUUUGUUGUUCAAUUCAAGAGCACAUUAAAGAUGUUACCUGGAUGAGCAGUGUUUCAGGAACACUUUCAGCUGCAGCCAAAGAGGGAGGCAUGGCUCAGCAACACAAACUGAUUCAGUCUAAUAAUUGUCAUAGCUGAGAGUGUCAGGAGGAGGUUUACAAUGGUUCUGCAGCCUGGCUUUAGCCUUAAGAGUUAGGGUGGGGACUGUAAAGAAUUGGCAGCUGAUAACAGAAAUGGAAUGAAAUCAAAAUAUCUAUCCUUUGCUUAUUCAUCAUCUUGAAAUAUUUAUAAUGGUCCAAGUAGCCCUCCACCCACCCCGCACUGGAGCUUUUAAAUGUGUGUCCAGAUUCAAGAGUGGCAGCAUCUUGAGUGCAUCUCUGGAUUAACCCAAACCCUUCUGCUUAGGGCAUUAACAGAUACUUUAACAAGAUAAGACCAGAAUCUAAGCUAGCCUCAGCUUUGUAUUUGCUGCCUAAUCCCAAAUUAAUGUUAGGUGUUACAAGUCUAAAAUGAUCCCUAAUGAACCCAGAACGUGGCAUCCUGGAUGAAGACAUGCAAGGCCUGACUCCAGCCAACAGGCCUCCACUCUAAAUAUAAAUAAAUAUACAUAUGUAAAUAUAGAAAAAUAAGUUUAGGGCCAACUGCCCUUAAUAGGGCAAUCUAUAUUACGAUACCUACCUAAGUGGAUUUCAAGUCUCCCUCUGACUUAAGUUUAACAUUUCUCUCAGCCCUCUAAUUAUUUUUUUUUAAAAGAACUGUACACAUAGCAUCCAUAUUAAAAUCUUGAAUGUCCAUAAUGCUUCUAGAGUUCACAUCUGCAGUUUUCUUUGUUCUCUUUAAGGAGAUGGCUGCCAGUAAGGAAGAUUACAUGUUGCCUUGAAUUUUCCCAGAUUAUGUCUGCUUGGAUCCAGCAUUAUGGUUCAGCCUUUUGUACACAUGGAGAGGGCAGCUGGAACAUUUCAGAUACAGAUGUGAACCUCCCCAGAGUUAAUUAUUCACAUUAUUGUUUGCAUCUUCGAUUUGAGUUACCCAGCUUGUAUUAAAGUCCUACAUACUA